GAUGAAGAACGUAGCGAAAUGCGAUAAGUAAUGUGAAUUGCAGAAUUCAGUGAAUCAUCGAAUCUUUGAACGCACCUUGCGCUCCUUGGUAUUCCGAGGAGCAUGCCUGUUUGAGUGUCAUUAAAUUCUCAACCAUUAUCAACUUUUGCUGAUAAUGGCUUGGAUGUGGGGGUCUAUUUUGCUGGCUUCUCAGAUAGUCAGCUCCCCUUAAAUGCAUUAGCCGGUGCCCCGCGUGGACUGUCUAUUGGUGUGAUAAUUAUCUACGCUAUGGACAUCUGCAAUCAUAUGGGUUUGCNNNGCUUCUAACAGUCUGUUGAUUCAGACAAUACAUGACAAUUUGACCUCAAAUCAGGUAGGACUACCCGCUGAACUUAAGCAUAUCAAUAAGCGGAGGA
RNAcentral lists this unclassified non-coding RNA (395 nucleotides) under soil metagenome. RNAcentral describes it as "partial contains 5.8S ribosomal RNA, internal transcribed spacer 2, and large subunit ribosomal RNA". The stretch from base 1 to 120 matches the Rfam family "5.8S ribosomal RNA", at positions 35 to 154 of the family's 154-position model. The record is from RNAcentral.